AAUAAAUUAGUAUAUUCCAGCUUAUCAAACUGCCCCAUAAUUCUGAGGGUGACCUCUUUAAAGAAGGUCAGGCAUUGAGUGAGACAGCUACAUUUGGGCAGAGGCAGGGUUUUACCAAGAACACUUUCAGUUCCUGUUUCCAAUUGAGCCUGCUCCCUGCCUGGGGCCUAGCCUGAUGUACAAGCCCAUUGGCUGGGCUUGCUUAAAUGUCCCACACAAAUAUAAACACCUCUACAGUGUGGGGAAGAUGAAAGGAAUAGCUUAUUGAUAUUGUAUAUGCUAACGUUUGGAUGUGGGACAGGAAAGACAGCACUGAGCUGCUGGUAUGCAACGCUGAAGCCGGGCGGCAUGGAGAGGUUUUCAUUUACUGAUGCUGGAUGCGUGCCCAGACUGCCAUAGUGGAAUGCAGGGAGAAACACAGAAAGGAGGAGGACCACAGAAUGGUUUUUCGUGAACAUCCAUGUGGGGCAGAAGAAUAAAUACAUAUGAAGGCUAUGUUUCUAGAAAUGAAAGAACUGGCCACUGAGGAGCAGUUGGGAGCCCCCCUGCCCCCGCCCCCCAAGUCCCAACCUGGCCCUCUUCAUUUGUACUUGAAGAGUCAACUAUUCCCGACUCUUGGCAUGCACCUCCUGUCGACUACCAUAUAUGAUCGAUUUACCCAAACAUCGAGGUGUCUCCAUUGGAGUUAUGUGCGAGAUAGAACUGCUCAGCGUUUGCCUUUCACCCAAAGGACUCGAAAGAUACUUUGAAACAAAAGAUUCCUCUGGGAAUCAUCCAUAAGCAUAAAAUGGAAAAUUUCCUUUCCCCCAGUAUGCCUCCAUUCCACCUCCCCAUUCUGGAGACGUGAUUAUUAGCCAAAUCAGAUCAGGAACAGAAGCAGCAGGAGCUGAAAGAUUCUUGCCCUUCUGACCGGCCCAGCUUUGGGUGUGACAUUUAUGUGUGGGUGUGUAUCCAUAUAAUUAUAAAUACAGAAUACACAAAUGGCAUCGCAAGGUAUAAUUAAUUAGCUAAACUAAAAGCCUUUGCCACUGUGUCAGUUUUAAACUUUUUAGCUCCAAUGAUUUUUUAAUAUACCAGCUUGACGAUAAAGGAGAAGGGGAAAGGGGUGGGAACGGGGAAGAUCCCGUGAAUACAUUUUUUGACAUUUUGUUUAUUAUCAUGUUAUCUAGGCUAGUGGUAAAUGGAUGGACUUGUCAGCAGAAAUCUCUCGGUGAAGUAAAUAAAGAAUCUUAAUAGCAAGGACCA
Molecule: long non-coding RNA, 1245 nt
Filed under: Ursus maritimus (polar bear)
Lineage: Eukaryota; Metazoa; Chordata; Mammalia; Carnivora; Ursidae
Description: lncRNA (ENSUMAG00000001637.1)
Source: RNAcentral